GUUUUAUUGUUAUGUUAUCGUAUAAUAUUAUGAUUUUAUAAUAAGUAUAUAGAACGUAUUAGGACGUACUAAGUGUGUAUUACCUAUAUGUAGCAGCUAUUUAGCUACUUAUAUUAUCCGUAUAUGCGGUUUGAUAACUGAUUAACUUAGAGGCCGAAAACAAUGAUGAGUUACGAAUAGUAUUUAGUAAUUGAAAUCACAUUGUUCCGUUCGGUGUAUAUAAGUACCGAUGUACAUAAUGAAAUGGACAGUGGCGGUGGAUAAUUGCAAUAACAAUACGUAUAUGGAUUUUUUUCCGUUAAAAAUUUAAAAACAAUUUUUGCUGUACAUCGAAAGUUCAGACAUCAAUGUAAAAUCAAUACAUUCAUCGCUUCACUGUCAGAAUCUAUGGAAUAUAGUUAUAUAGGAUGGCCAAGAGGAGUGUAGGAGUGAUCAUGUUCAAGUAUACAAACACACAAACCCGCCUAUAGCAAAAAAGUUUUAAUGCCAAAAAAGAAAAAUUAAGGGAAUAGUACAAGCUAAAAUCAAAAUUAGAAUAAUUGCCAAUGGACGACAACAUAAAUUAAGAUGGAGUCCAGACACCACCAUGCGCAAAUAUGUCCAGUGGCUACCUCUAUAUCGAACCCAUCACCGCAAACGCAAGAACAUUAGUUCAGACCCACUCGGCCUAGGGUGAUACCAUUUUACCGUUUAGUUUAUACAUUAAAAAUUAAAAUACCUUUUAAUACAUAAAAUAUUAAAGAAAGUCUUGAUAAAAAAUUAA
Molecule: long non-coding RNA, 763 nt
Organism: Aphis gossypii (cotton aphid)
Lineage: Eukaryota; Metazoa; Arthropoda; Insecta; Hemiptera; Aphididae
Exons: 3
Source: RefSeq, a predicted model, not a curated record